AUACGUGCUUAUGUGACUACGUGUUCAACUGUUUGACAUAAUGUGUAUAUAUAUUAUUUGUAUAUAAUAUUUUUAUAUUGCGAAGGGUAGUAAUAUAAUUUCGAUUCUGCAAGUUCAACGACGCUUUGGAUUAUUCUUCAACUGAAGUAUUGCAUGCUGUCAUAUAUAGUUUAUCGAGAAGCGUGCAUCAACGACUUUCAGAAGCAAGCCGAUAUUGUUGCAAGUCAAGUCAGAAUAGUUUGAUAAGGCCAGUUGUGCCGUAAGAUAGUCCAGUAGAGAGUAGUCAUUGCAGAGAUUAGCAAAGUUGAGGCCAAUAUAGGAAUCUCGAGUAGAGUGACUGUGUGUCACCGGUUUUCUAUCAGAGGCAAGUAUUCCUAUUCUUCUCUUUUAUUUAAAGAGCAAAUAUUUCAAUUCCUCUUUUCAUAAAGAAAGUUUUAUAAUUAUGACUUGUAUUUCUUGCAAGCAUGACUAUCCAUUUCUGAUAUGAAAAGUACAAAUGCUUUAAUCUUUAUCCUGUGAUUAAAUUAUCGAAUAUCUUUAGUUCGAUACUUUUUACUGUUAUAUGAGCAGUGGCAACUUUAUUUGAAAAGCAUUCUGAUUAUUUUUAAUCAGUUUUCUGGAAAUUAUUGUCUGAGUUACUUUUCAGUUUGGAACCAUUGAUUACACUAUAGUAGUCAUAUUUCGAUACUACAAUAUAUGCCUGGUCUUCUGUCCCAGACAUAAACCCUGGAUUUUAAAUAGCGAAAAUAACUUUAUUAAUUCCCUUGUGCCGUAUUGCGGUGAACUUCAAAACUAUACUCAGACUUUGUAAAAUUGGUUUUGACAGUAUUUUGAGAUUGAAAACAAAAGAGUUUUCAGAAAAGUUUUGAAAGGAUGAUUUUAUGGCGUAUGGGGCUAUUUAAUAGUCCAGCCAGAUAGACCAGCAAAAUAUUGUUUUGAGAACAGGUGUUAAUCAUCUGCUUCCGGAAGAAAUCGGAAGAUUUCUUUGUUUUUGCAUAGGUGGCCGGGACGGCGGUCCAGCGAAGGGCUAGGUAUUAUAUGAAAUAUGUAUAAUACCAUUUCUGCCAAAGGCCAAUGUGUUGCCUUCUGUUUGGUACCUAUUGUUUGGAUCUGCUUCUACGAAGCAUGAUUCGGUGCUAUCACUGGAUUUCCUGAUCAGCUGUGGUAGUACGUCCGUUGUUUAAAACCUGGUCAUAAUUAUUUAAGCUUAUGAUAGCUUAUGUUUAUUGUCAAAUUUAUCUUGUGAUUUUCGAGCAUAUUGAUUUAUAUGUUUGAUAAACUUUUGAGUGACAAAUAUUUAGAUUAUUUCAAAAGUUUACUUUAUUUCAAAUACUCUGAUUUAAUUCAAAAGAAAUUAUAUCUUGUGGCUCUUGCCUUUUAAAUUAUCUUGCUGAGCAUUUUCGCUCACCCUUGCUAUUAUUUCUAACUCUUUCAGUUAGGGAUUGAGAUGGUUACCUGUAUAAGCUGCGCGUAAGAUUGAUGCUAGGCGAGAUGGCCAGGAAGAUAUCUG
This 1510-nucleotide long non-coding RNA is filed under the name Daucus carota (carrot). RNAcentral's name for it is "long non-coding RNA (DCAR_LNC005152)". The record is from RNAcentral. Lineage: Eukaryota; Viridiplantae; Streptophyta; Magnoliopsida; Apiales; Apiaceae.